RNAcentral lists this ribosomal RNA (253 nucleotides) under uncultured bacterium. Its description in RNAcentral is "partial 16S ribosomal RNA". It matches the Rfam family "Bacterial small subunit ribosomal RNA", at positions 524 to 776 of the family's 1533-position model. The record is from RNAcentral.
UACGUAGGGUCCGAGCGUUGUCCGGAAUUAUUGGGCGUAAAGGGCUCGUAGGCGGUUUGUCGCGUCGGGAGUGAAAACACGGGGCUUAACCCCGUGCCUGCUUCCGAUACGGGCAGACUAGAGGUAUGCAGGGGAGAACGGAAUUCCUGGUGUAGCGGUGAAAUGCGCAGAUAUCAGGAGGAACACCGGUGGCGAAGGCGGUUCUCUGGGCAUGAUCUGACGCUGAGGAGCGAAAGUGUGGGGAGCGAACAGG